CCCAGUGCUUAGUAUAGUGCCUGGCACCCAGUAAGCACUUAACAAAUUCCACAAUUAUUAUGAUGAUGAGGCAAUUCUCUCUGCCCCGUGUACCCGUGCUUGUUCAGGGCAGGUUGCCCGGUCCCAAGGGGCCCAGGGUCUUUCCAUUUGGUCUACGGCCUGGGGUUCCGCCACCACCGCCCCAUCUCCUCAUGCAGCCGGUGCCUCUGGGAGAGCAGGUGGAAGUGAAAAGAUGUGGGGCAGAGACACCAGGCCCCUCCUGCCUCCUCCUCCUCCUCCCUCCUUGUGCCAUCUUUCCCUUUCUGGAGGCAGAACGGGGCCCACUGGGUAAGGAUGGGCACCCCGCCCACCGGCCAGCCCGCCUCAUCCCCUAGCGCUGGGCGGCACCCCGUGCAGUGCCGUCUCCUGGCCCUGACUCCCGCCCGCCAUGGAUUUCGAUCUGGCAGCAGGUAAGCUCUCGGUGGGGUAGGCUCAGGCGGGCCCCUCUCAGCUCCCUUCCCCCUCCGCCAGGCAGGGAGCUGAGGCCACCCCAGGCCCACACCCCCUCCCUGUCGUCCUGGGGGAGAGGGUGGGAGGGCCGGGAGGGCCGAUCCCAGGAUUGUGGAUGGAGGGGGUGGGAGGUUCUGGUCUCUUCCCCUAACUAGGUGGGCCCUGCAGCAGGAGGGAGUUAGGCGAGACCCCAAGGAAGAGGGUGGCUCAUUCUAGCUGUAGCUGCCUCAUCCGCAGAGCCUCUGGUGCUGGGCUAGGGCGGAGGAGGCCGGGGCGUGACUUGUCCUCCAUGGGUUGAGACCCCCACUGCCCGCCACAGUUGUAGACGCCCCUCCCUACACUGAGCCCAGCCUUCCGCACCCACGCCUGGCACCCUCAGCUUAGUUCCAGCUAAUCGUUGCGUUCUCUCCUGGACAGCGGUGGGGCCUGACCCAAGGAAGGAGGAAGACAGCCACAAGCCGGGGGAGCCCAACACCCAGGCCAAAGUUGGCUCCGGGGACAGCUCAGAAAGCAGGAGCAGCAGCAGCAGCGAUGCAGAGGCGGCCGGGAAGGACCACCAGCCCAAGGGCAAGCAGCCUCCCAAGGUGAAGAAGCCCAAAGGGAAGAAGGACAAGAAGAAGAAGAAGGCAGAGAGGGAAAAAUCGCCCUGACCUCCCUUGCCUCUUCGACUGCCCCAUGCCGAUCGUGCCACCGCAGAGGCUGUGACUUUGUGUGAGCCCGUUGUUGGGCAGGGAUUGUCUCUAUCUGUUGCCAAAUUGUACACUCCAAGCGCUUAGGACAGUGCUCUGCACAUAGUAAGUGCUCAAAUACUAUUGAGUGAACGAAUGGAUAUAAGCCUUGGGACUCCAGACUUGGAUUUGCCCAUGUACUUAGUACUGUGCCCAGGCCAUAGGACUGACAGCUUGGGGGGCGGGGAGAGGGGAAGGAGGGGUCUGUGUUCAAGUAGACUGUCGGCUCGUUAUAGGCAGGGAAUGUAUCUGCUAAUGCGGUUCAGUUGCACUCUCCCAAGCGCUCGGUACGGUGGU
This is a long non-coding RNA of Ornithorhynchus anatinus (platypus), 1514 nucleotides long. RefSeq lists it as uncharacterized. Lineage: Eukaryota; Metazoa; Chordata; Mammalia; Monotremata; Ornithorhynchidae. The record is from RefSeq and is a predicted model, not a curated record. The transcript has 3 exons.